CAGCAGCCGCGGUAAUACGAAGGGGGCUAGCGUUGUUCGGAAUUACUGGGCGUAAAGCGCACGUAGGCGGAUAUUUAAGUCAGGGGUGAAAUCCCGCAGCUCAACUGCGGAACUGCCUUUGAUACUGGGUAUCUUGAGUAUGGAAGAGGUUAGUGGAAUUGCGAGUGUAGAGGUGAAAUUCGUAGAUAUUCGCAGGAACACCAGUGGCAAAGGCGGCUAACUGGUCCAUAACUGACGCUGAGGUGCGAAAGCGUGGGGAGCAAACAGGAUUAGAUACCCCCGUAGUCCCUGUCUCUUAUAC
Molecule: ribosomal RNA, 301 nt
Filed under: uncultured bacterium
Lineage: Bacteria
Description: partial 16S ribosomal RNA
Rfam family: Bacterial small subunit ribosomal RNA
Source: RNAcentral